GCGAGAGGAGGGCAGAGAUGUGGACCCACACAGAGGCCACGCCGGGGCUGAGCAAGGACGGCCCCGGAUAGGGCGGGCUUAGAGAGGGGCACGGAGGCUGGACCCUGGCCUUGAAGGAGCCCCUGCAAGGUGGGGGCUGCACUGGGGUUGUGGCAGGGGAACAUGUGGACCACAGAAAGCAUCACACCUGGGCUGGUGCUGGACAUCCCCAGCACCAACCACACCUUCUCAUCGCCAGGGCCUCCUGUUCAGGCUGCUUGGACUCUCAAGCUCUGUCUGCUUUGUUCCUACUUGGCAGAACUGGGCGCCUCUCAGCACUCACUUGGAGACGUGGGGUCGGAACUCUGGUGGCCUGGUGCCUCUCCCAGCCAGGACCUGGAUGAAUGAACACACACCCUUCCUUUCCCAGGCUCUGCCGUGUCUUCUGUCAAAGCAUCAGAAAUCAGGGGCUUUGGCAGGACAACUGAAAUGGUAUAGCGGCUGCAGCAAAGCCUGGAGUCCAACUUACGUCCACGUCUCACAAGGUACAUCUUCAUAACAUGUGCCACUCCUGGCUCUUUUAUUUUCCUGCCACUCACUUUUUCUUAUUUUUAACAGAUAUUCCUUGCAACGUUGCUUGCAUAUUUGUUAAGUGGCCACUAAAUCCCUUCUGGAACUAGGCAGGGAGAAAAUCAGUCGAUUGACCGAUACAAGACAGAAUGAAGUGAUAAUCGCUACCUUUCACUGAGUGCUUUCUAUGUGCCAGGGACAAUCCUAGACAUUUUUUAUUUUUUUAGAUGGAGUUUUGCUCAUGUCACCCAGGCUGGA
RNAcentral lists this long non-coding RNA (807 nucleotides) under Homo sapiens (human). Its description in RNAcentral is "HSALNT0388104". Lineage: Eukaryota; Metazoa; Chordata; Mammalia; Primates; Hominidae. The record is from RNAcentral.